AUGGAGGCCGACGACCCGGCGCCGCGCGGCGGGGGUGGGGGCGGGGCCCCGCCCCGCAUCCGGCGGCUGGAGGAGUCGGUGGUGAACCGCAUCGCCGCGGGGGAGGUGAUCCAGCGGCCGUCGGCGGCGGUGAAGGAGCUCGUCGAGAACAGCAUCGACGCCGGCGCCUCCACCGUCUCCGUCACCGUCAAGGACGGCGGCCUCAAGCUCAUCCAGGUCUCCGACGACGGCCACGGCAUCCGGUGUGAGGACUUGCCAAUAUUGUGUGAGAGACAUACUACCUCAAAGCUGUCUGCAUAUGAGGACCUACAGACAAUAAAAUCCAUGGGGUUCAGAGGGGAGGCUUUGGCCAGUAUGACUUAUGUUGGCCAUGUUACGGUGACAACAAUAACAGAAGGCCAACUGCAUGGCUACAGAGUUUCUUAUAGGGAUGGAGUAAUGGAGAAUGACCCGAAGCCCUGUGCUGCGGUUAAAGGAACUCAAGUCAUGGUUGAAAAUUUAUUUUACAAUAUGGUAGCUCGUAGGAAAACACUGCAGAACUCCAGUGAUGACUAUCCAAAGAUAGUGGACUUCAUCAGUCGGUUUACGGUCCAUCACAUCAAUGUGAACUUCUCUUGCAGAAAGCAUGGAGUCAAUAGAGCAGAUGUUCACAGUGGGAACAUGUCUUCAAGGCUAGAUGCUAUUAGGAAUGUCUAUGGGGCUUCGGUUGUUCGUGAUCUGAUGGAAAUACAUGUUUCAUAUGAUGCUGUAGAUGAAAUAUUCAAGAUGGAUGGUUUCAUCUCAAAUGCAAAUUAUGUGGCAAAAAAGACUACUAUGAUUCUUUUCAUAAAUGAUAGACUUGUAGACUGCACUUCUUUGAAAAGGGCUACUGAAUUUGUGUAA
This 882-nucleotide ribosomal RNA is filed under the name Triticum aestivum (bread wheat). RNAcentral's name for it is "partial small subunit ribosomal RNA". The record is from RNAcentral. Lineage: Eukaryota; Viridiplantae; Streptophyta; Magnoliopsida; Poales; Poaceae.